Long non-coding RNA from Helianthus annuus (common sunflower), 615 nucleotides. RefSeq lists it as uncharacterized. NCBI's taxonomy places the organism in Eukaryota, Viridiplantae, Streptophyta, Magnoliopsida, Asterales, Asteraceae. The transcript is spliced from 3 exons. The record is from RefSeq and is a predicted model, not a curated record.
CAAAACUAUUAUCCAAAAACCUAAUUUCUCCACCUCAACCACGUUCUAUACCCGUCGUAUUCAUCUUCCCCUUUCCAUCUUUCCUUCACAAAACCCUAAUCUAAGCCUGUCGCAUGUCGUUAACUUCUUGCGAUUCCUCUCUGCUACUCCUUCAUCACCGGCGAUUACUCCAGAGUAUAAGGGCAGUUUGGCGACACUAAGAAUUUGUAGUGGAACUGUUGACUACCUUGGAUUACACACGGUUAGCAAGCUGACAUUUCAGAUUGUGUUUCUAUCGCCAGUUAUUGUUUACGGUUUGCCAAAUGAAGUUCUGUGCAUAGAAUAUUUCCCCUGAUCUGCAGACUGCAGCCAACCAUCAUUGGCAAACUAAGGUAUCAAACACUACUUUCUAUAGCCCUUUGUAUGGUCGCUCUUUGUUAUGCGUUUUUUAUCUACAUUUUUAGAUAUUAAGUUUUGUGCAAAACAAAGGAAAUGCUUAUUAUUUGAUCAUAUGUUGGUUAUAGUUGCUAGCCAAAAGGAUCUUAUGGCUCUAGAAGGAUCAAUUUAUCUCAACUUUUAGAAAUUACUAAAUUAUCAUGAUGUGGUGAAAUUUUUUAGUUUGUGCCUGCUCAGUGU